RNAcentral lists this ribosomal RNA (498 nucleotides) under uncultured soil bacterium. RNAcentral's name for it is "bacterial SSU rRNA". It matches the Rfam family "Bacterial small subunit ribosomal RNA", at positions 26 to 505 of the family's 1533-position model. The record is from RNAcentral.
AGAGUGAACGCUGGCGGUAGGCCUAACACAUGCAAGUCGAACGGCAGCACAGUGGUAGCAAUACCAUGGGUGGCGAGUGGCGGUCGGGUGAGGAAUACAUCGGAAUCUACCUUUUCGUGGGGGAUAACGUAGGGAAACUUACGCUAAUACCGCAUACGCCCUUUGGGGGAAAGCCGGGGAUCGCAAGACCUGGCGCGGAUAGAUGAGCCGAUGUCGGAUUAGCUAGUUGGUGAGGUAAUGGCUCACCAAGGCGACGAUCCGUAGCUGGUCUGAGAGGAUGAUCAGCCACACUGGAACUGAGACACGGUCCAGACUCCUACGGGAGGCAGCAGUGGGGAAUAUUGGACAAUGGGCGAAAGCCUGAUCCAGCCAUGCCGCGUGUGUGAAGAAGGUCUUCGGAUUGUAAAGCUACGUUUAAGUUGGGAAGGUAAGGUUGUAAACUUAAGUACGUUGACUAACUUUGACGUUACCGACAGGAUAAGCAACCGGCUAACUUCG